This 436-nucleotide ribosomal RNA is filed under the name uncultured soil bacterium. Its description in RNAcentral is "bacterial SSU rRNA". It matches the Rfam family "Bacterial small subunit ribosomal RNA", at positions 27 to 508 of the family's 1533-position model. The record is from RNAcentral.
GGAACGAACGCUGGCGGCAGGCUUAACACAUGCAAGUCGAGCGCCUCGCAAGAGGAGCGGCAGACGGGUGAGUAACGCGUGGGAAUCUACCUAGUUCUACGGAACAACUGAUGGAAACGUCAGCUAAUACCGUAUACGCCCUAAGGGGGAAAGAUUUAUCGGAAUUAGAUGAGCCCGCGUAAGAUUAGCUAGUUGGUGGGUAAUGGCCUACAAGGCGACGAUCUUUAGCUGGUCUGAGAGGAUGAUCAGCCACACUGGGACUGAGACACGGCCCAGACUCCUACGGGAGGCAGCAGGUGGGGAAUAGUUGGACAAGUGGGCGCAAGCCUGACUCCAGCCAUGCCGCGUGAGUGAUGAAGGCCUUAGGUGUAAAGCUCUUCAGUGGGAAGAUAAUGACGGUACCCACGAAGAACGAACGCCCGGACUAACUUCGACG